UACGGAGGGUGCAAGCGUUAAUCGGAAUUACUGGGCGUAAAGCGCACGCAGGUGGCUGAGUCAGUCGAUUGUGAAAGCCCUGGGCUUAACCUGGGAAUUGCAGUCGAUACUACUCAGCUAGAGUAUGGGAGAGGGUAGUGGAAUUCCCGGUGUAGCGGUGAAAUGCGUAGAUAUCAGGAGGAACACCGAUGGCGAAGGCAGUUCUCUGGGCCGUAACUGACGCUGAGGAGCGAAAGCGUGGGGAGCGAACAGG
Molecule: ribosomal RNA, 253 nt
Filed under: uncultured bacterium
Lineage: Bacteria
Description: partial 16S ribosomal RNA
Rfam family: Bacterial small subunit ribosomal RNA
Source: RNAcentral